UACGUAGGUGGCAAGCGUUGUCCGGAUUUACUGGGCGUAAAGAGCGCGCAGGCGGUCGUUCAAGUCGCGUGUGAAAGCCCCCGGCUCAACUGGGGAGGGUCACGCGAUACUGAUCGACUCGAAGGCAGGAGAGGGUAGUGGAAUUCCCGGUGUAGUGGUGAAAUGCGUAGAUAUCUGGAGGAACACCGGUGGCGAAGGCGGCAUCCUGGACCGGUAUUGACGCUGAGGCGCGAAAGCCAGGGGAGCAAACGGG
RNAcentral lists this ribosomal RNA (253 nucleotides) under uncultured bacterium. RNAcentral's name for it is "partial 16S ribosomal RNA". It matches the Rfam family "Bacterial small subunit ribosomal RNA", at positions 524 to 776 of the family's 1533-position model. The record is from RNAcentral.